This 466-nucleotide ribosomal RNA is filed under the name uncultured Streptococcus sp. RNAcentral describes it as "bacterial SSU rRNA". It matches the Rfam family "Bacterial small subunit ribosomal RNA", at positions 910 to 1382 of the family's 1533-position model. The record is from RNAcentral. Lineage: Bacteria; Bacillati; Bacillota; Bacilli; Lactobacillales; Streptococcaceae.
UUGACGGGGCCGCACAAGCGGUGGAGCAUGUGUUUAAUUCGAAGCAACGCGAAGAACCUUACCAGGUCUUGACAUCCCGAUGCUAUUUCUAGAGAUAGAAAGUUACUUCGGUACAUCGGUGACAGGUGGUGCAUGGUUGUCGUCAGCUCGUGUCGUGAGAUGUUGGGUUAAGUCCCGCAACGAGCGCAACCCCUAUUGUUAGUUGCCAUCAUUCAGUUGGGCACUCUAGCGAGACUGCCGGUAAUAAACCGGAGGAAGUGGGAUGACGUCAAAUCAUCAUGCCCCUUAUGACCUGGGCUACACACGUGCUACAAUGGUUGGUACAACGAGUUGCGAGUCGGUGACGGCGAGCUAAUCUCUUAAAGCCAAUCUCAGUUCGGAUUGUAGGCUGCAACUCGCCUACAUGAAGUCGGAAUCGCUAGUAAUCGCGGAUCAGCACGCCGCGGUGAAUACGUUCCCGGGCCUU